Long non-coding RNA from Megalopta genalis, 708 nucleotides. RefSeq lists it as uncharacterized. Lineage: Eukaryota; Metazoa; Arthropoda; Insecta; Hymenoptera; Halictidae. The record is from RefSeq and is a predicted model, not a curated record.
GAAGUUUUUCCGAUUCGACCAGAAAAAUAGCACGAACGUUUCUUGCGCAAAACGAUUCUCUACACCCUUUCGAAUUCAAUGGAACGUAGUGUCUAGAAGUGUCACGGCAUACUCAGCGAUGUCGGGGGCAAAGCGCUUAUAAAUAUGAGGGGUGCACUAAUGACUAUCUGUGUGUGCCGCCGAGCGCGCAAAAUGUUUUCUUACUUAAAUAGUUUUGGUAACAAUAAUUGGUUUAUUUGUUCAACGAGAAAAAAGUCCCUAUGUUGCAUAAUAUAACGAUGACAAUAUGUAAUCGUGUGCACGAUUAGCAUAAAAAAGUAUCAAAGUGAUACAAUAAAAAAAUACAAUAAGAAAGGAACGAGUAAUCGGAAAAUUAAUUAAAGUGAUAAUAAUAGAGUAAAAAAUGGAGUACAGUACAAAAAUAUCGGAAAACAAUAAAAUUGUAUUACGAUUUAUAAUAGUAUGAGUAGGAAAACAAAUAUUGAGAUAAGGAAGGAUAAGAAGAUAAGACGAAAAGGAAGAACGAAUAGCGAUGAUAAGGGAGAUUUUAGAAGAGGUGCACGAACUACAAAAAAUGUCAAGUGGGUGAAAUACUGGUUUGAAAGUAAGAGAACACGAUUCAAAUAAUUAUGGUAACCGUGAUAUGUACGGUGAGUUUUGCGAAAAAAAAGAGAUUCUAUCUCGUAUUGAAUAUUUUUUCAUACAUUA